This 484-nucleotide ribosomal RNA is filed under the name uncultured bacterium. Its description in RNAcentral is "partial 16S ribosomal RNA". It matches the Rfam family "Bacterial small subunit ribosomal RNA", at positions 30 to 507 of the family's 1533-position model. The record is from RNAcentral.
AUUGAACGCUGGCGGCAGGCCUAACACAUGCAAGUCGAGCGGAUGAAGGGAGCUUUCUCCUGGAUUCAGCGGCGGACGGGUGAGUAAUGCCUAGGAAUCUGCCUGGUAGUGGGGGAUAACGUCCGGACACGGGCGCUAAUACCGCAUACGUCCUGAGGGCGAACGUGGGGGAUCUUCGGACCUCACGCUCUCAGAUGAGCCUAGGUCGGAUUAGCUAGUUGGUGGGGUAAAGUCCUACCAAGGCGACGAUCCGUAACUGGUCUGAGAGGAUGAUCAGUCACACUGGAACUGAGACACGGUCCAGACUCCUACGGGAGGCAGCAGUGGGGAAUAUUGGACAAUGGGCGAAAGCCUGAUCCAGCCAUGCCGCGUGUGUGAAGAAGGUCUUCGGAUUGUAAAGCACUUUAAGUUGGGAGGAAGGGCAGUAAGUGAAUACCUUGCUGUUUUGACGUUACCAACAGAAUAAGCACCGGCUAACUUCGUG